Molecule: ribosomal RNA, 547 nt
Filed under: soil bacterium PP-P1-1
Lineage: Bacteria
Description: bacterial SSU rRNA
Rfam family: Bacterial small subunit ribosomal RNA
Source: RNAcentral
UGGGGAAUUUUGGACAAUGGGCGAAAGCCUGAUCCAGCCAUGCCGCGUGCAGGAUGAAGGCCUUCGGGUUGUAAACUGCUUUUGUACGGAACGAAACGGCCUUUUCUAAUAAAGAGGGCUAAUGACGGUACCGUAAGAAUAAGCACCGGCUAACUACGUGCCAGCAGCCGCGGUAAUACGUAGGGUGCAAGCGUUAAUCGGAAUUACUGGGCGUAAAGCGUGCGCAGGCGGUUAUGUAAGACAGUUGUGAAAUCCCCGGGCUCAACCUGGGAACUGCAUCUGUGACUGCAUAGCUAGAGUACGGUAGAGGGGGAUGGAAUUCCGCGUGUAGCAGUGAAAUGCGUAGAUAUGCGGAGGAACACCGAUGGCGAAGGCAAUCCCCUGGACCUGUACUGACGCUCAUGCACGAAAGCGUGGGGAGCAAACAGGAUUAGAUACCCUGGUAGUCCACGCCCUAAACGAUGUCAACUGGUUGUUGGGUCUUCACUGACUCAGUAACGAAGCUAACGCGUGAAGUUGACCGCCUGGGGAGUACGGCCGCAAGGUG